RNAcentral lists this ribosomal RNA (468 nucleotides) under uncultured bacterium. RNAcentral's name for it is "partial 16S ribosomal RNA". It matches the Rfam family "Bacterial small subunit ribosomal RNA", at positions 28 to 507 of the family's 1533-position model. The record is from RNAcentral.
GACGAACGCUGGCGGCGUGCUUAACACAUGCAAGUCGAACGGAAAGGCCCUGCUUUUGUGGGGUGCUCGAGUGGCGAACGGGUGAGUAACACGUGAGUAACCUGCCCUUGACUUUGGGAUAACUUCAGGAAACUGGGGCUAAUACCGGAUAGGAGCUCCUGCUGCAUGGUGGGGGUUGGAAAGUUUCGGCGGUGGGGGAUGGACUCGCGGCUUAUCAGCUGGUUGGUGAGGUAGUGGCUUACCAAGGCUUUGACGGGUAGCCGGCCUGAGAGGGUGACCGGGCACAUUGGGACUGAGAUACGGCGCAGACUCCUACGGGAGGCAGCAGUGGGGAAUAUUGCACAAUGGGCGGAAGCCAGAGGCAGCAACGCCGCGUGCGUGAUGACGGCCUUCGGGUUGUAAACCGCUUUCGCCUGUGACGAAGCGUGAGUGACGGUAAUGGGUAAAGAAGCACCGGCUAACUACGUG